Molecule: unclassified non-coding RNA, 258 nt
Filed under: uncultured fungus
Lineage: Eukaryota; Fungi
Description: sequence contains ITS1, 5.8S rRNA gene
Rfam family: 5.8S ribosomal RNA (bases 210-258)
Source: RNAcentral
UCUCCGUUGGUGAACCAGCGGAGGGAUCAUUACAGAGUUUUUAACUCCCAAACCCAUGUGAACCUACUAUUUUGUUGCCUCGGCGCAGGCUGGGAGCUUCUGUAAACUCCCCCACGCGGACUCACCUCUGCGCGGAGCAGGCCCGCCGGCGGCCCCACCAAACUCUUGUUUUUAGUGUCUCUUCUGAGUUAAACAAACAAAUGAAUCAAAACUUUCAACAACGGAUCUCUUGGUUCUGGCAUCGAUGAAGAACGCAGC